UACAGAGGGGGCAAGCGUUGUUCGGAAUUACUGGGCGUAAAGGGCGCGUAGGCGGCCUGUUAAGUCGAACGUGAAAUCCCCGGGCUCAACCCGGGAACUGCGUCCGAUACUGGCAGGCUUGAAUCCGGGAGAGGGAUGCGGAAUUCCAGGUGUAGCGGUGAAAUGCGCAGAUAUCGGGAGGAACACCUAUGGCGAAGGCAGCUCGCUGGGACGUUACUGACGCUGAGACGCGAAAGCGUGGGGAGCAAACAGG
This 253-nucleotide ribosomal RNA is filed under the name uncultured bacterium. RNAcentral's name for it is "partial 16S ribosomal RNA". It matches the Rfam family "Bacterial small subunit ribosomal RNA", at positions 524 to 776 of the family's 1533-position model. The record is from RNAcentral.